GUGCAGCGCCAGCCUGCAAGGGCUGCAGCCACCUGGACUCCCACCUGAGAGAACUGUGGUGUGAAAAAAAACAAAAAUCUCCAGCAGCGUCCUGAGGGUGGGCUGCCAGGAAUCUUGAGGGCCAAUCUCUGCUCAAGUAUGUCUGGGAGGUGAGAUAUGGAGUCAAAGAAGAGGAUUCUCUAGACUUAAGAUGGAAUGUUUGCCCUGUUAUGUUUUGGGCUUGUUACUUCUCUUAUUUUUGUUUCGAGUUCUCUGCCAUGUGAGGACACUGUCUCUUCACUCUGGAGAAUGCAGCAUUCAAUGUUCCCCCUUGGAAGUAGAGACUUGACCCCCACCAGAAGCCUGAAGCUGCUGACAUGUUGAUUUUGGACUUCCCUGUCUCCAGAACUGUGAGAAAUGCAUUUCCGUUCUUUGUAAAUUACCCAGUUUCAGGUAUUUUGUUACAGCAGCACAGACAGACUAAGACAGUCACUAAUUAUGGCAAACUCUAAAAGGCAGCACAUAAUGACAAUGUUAUGGACAAAAUGUUCCCCUUCAAAUUCAUAUGCUGAAGCCCUAACCCCCAAUAAGGUGAUAUUAGGAAGUGGGGUCUUUGGGGGUGAUUGGAUUUAGAUGAAGUGAUGGGUGGGCCCAUGAUGGGAUUAGAUGUUCUUGUGAGAAGAGGCAAGAGAGACCAGAGUUCACUCAUUUUUUGUCUUCAUCUCUCUCUCUCUUUUUCUCUCACUCCCCCUUUCCCCGAAACAGAGAGAAGGUGACCAUUUGCAAGUCAGGAAGAAGGCCUUCACCAGAACCCAACCAUGCUGGCACUCUGAUCUCAGACUCCAGUCUCUGGAAAUGUGAGAAAAUAAAUGUCUGUUAUUUUAGAUGCUUAGUCUAUGGUAUUCUGUCAUUGCAGCCCCAGUUGAACAAGAUAG
Molecule: long non-coding RNA, 914 nt
Filed under: Callithrix jacchus (white-tufted-ear marmoset)
Lineage: Eukaryota; Metazoa; Chordata; Mammalia; Primates; Cebidae
Description: lncRNA (ENSCJAG00000057320.2)
Source: RNAcentral